RNAcentral lists this ribosomal RNA (484 nucleotides) under uncultured bacterium. RNAcentral's name for it is "partial 16S ribosomal RNA". It matches the Rfam family "Bacterial small subunit ribosomal RNA", at positions 28 to 507 of the family's 1533-position model. The record is from RNAcentral.
AUUGAACGCUGGCGGCAUGCUUUACACAUGCGAGUCGAACGGCAGCGCGGGCUUCGGCCUGGCGGCGAGUGGCGAACGGGUGAGUAAUGCAUCGGAACGUGCCCAGUAGUGGGGGAUAGCCCGGCGAAAGCCGGAUUAAUACCGCAUACGACCUGAGGGUGAAAGCGGGGGACCGAAAGGCCUCGCGCUAUUGGAGCGGCCGAUGUCGGAUUAGCUAGUUGGUGGGGUAAAGGCUUACCAAGGCGACGAUCCGUAGCUGGUCUGAGAGGACGACCAGCCACACUGGGACUGAGACACGGCCCAGACUCCUACGGGAGGCAGCAGUGGGGAAUUUUGGACAAUGGGGGCAACCCUGAUCCAGCCACGCCGCGUGCGGGAAGAAGGCCUUCGGGUUGUAAACCGCUUUUGUUCGGGAAGAAAUCCUCUGGGCUAAUACCCCGAGGGGAUGACGGUACCGGAAGAAUAAGCACCGGCUAACUACGUG